CCAUUGACUUGGACAUUUUU
Molecule: ribosomal RNA, 20 nt
Filed under: Laccaria amethystina
Lineage: Eukaryota; Fungi; Basidiomycota; Agaricomycetes; Agaricales; Hydnangiaceae
Description: partial 28S ribosomal RNA
Source: RNAcentral